UUUGACCACUGAGACGAGAGUGUUGGGCAGCCUUCAACUAGUUCUUCAGAAAUAGCAGGCUGAACAUCCCAUAUAAUAUCACAGAUAAGAUGGAUACAAAAUAGCCCGAAGAAAAUGGACAGAUGUGUGAUUUAUUCAGGUGCCUUUCCGCGAUAGCUACAGGAGAGAAGAAGAGGGGAGAUCUGCAGGAGAUUUCCUUUGGGAGUGUUCGAUGCGUAUUUCGAACAUGUUAGCAAGCAGGAAGGAGGCGUGAAGUAAUCAUGUGGAACUGGAAACAAUCUGACACGAUAGAGAACAGAGAGAGAGAGA
This is a long non-coding RNA of Oncorhynchus tshawytscha (Chinook salmon), 309 nucleotides long. NCBI's taxonomy places the organism in Eukaryota, Metazoa, Chordata, Actinopteri, Salmoniformes, Salmonidae. The record is from Ensembl.